This 299-nucleotide ribosomal RNA is filed under the name Thraustochytriidae sp. RNAcentral describes it as "Thraustochytriaceae sp. partial small subunit ribosomal RNA". It matches the Rfam family "Eukaryotic small subunit ribosomal RNA", at positions 1307 to 1610 of the family's 1831-position model. The record is from RNAcentral. Lineage: Eukaryota; Bigyra; Thraustochytrida; Thraustochytriidae.
CGACUGGUCUGGUUAAUUCCGUUAACGAUGGAGACCACAGCCUACUAAAUAGAGCGCAUUAUGGUAACAUAGUGUGAUACUUCUUAGAGGGACAUUUCGGGUAUACCGGAAGGAAGUUUGUGGCAAUAACAGGUCUGUGAUGCCCUUAGAUGUUCUGGGCCGCACGCGCGCUAAACUGACGACUUCAACAAGUUUUUUGGCCUUGCCAAAUUUCCUUGGCCGGAAGGUCUGGGUAAUCUUUUAAAAGGUCGUCGUGAUGGGGCUAGAUUCUUGCAAUUAUUAAUCUCCAACGAGGAACC